CCUACGGGUGGCAGCAGUGGGGAAUAGUGGGCAAUGGGCGAAAGCCUGACCCAGCAACGCCGCGUGAAGGAAGAAGGCUUUCGGGGUGUAAACUUCUUGUGACAGGGAAGAGGAGAAGACGGUACCUGUCGAAUAAGCCAAGGCUAACUACGUGCCAGCAGGCGGGGGAAUACGUAGGUGGCAAGCGUUGUACGGAUUUACUGGGUGUAAAGGGCGUGUAGCCGGGUUGACAAGUCAGAUGUGAAAUCCUGCGGCUUAACCGCAGAACGGCAUUGGAAACUGUUGAUCUUGAGUACUGGAGCGGCCGCCGGCAUUCCUAGUGUAGCGGUGAACUGCGUAGCUAUUAGUCGGCCCACCAGUGGCGACGGCGGUCUGCUGGACAGCAACUGACGGUGAGGCGCGACCGCGUUGGGAGCAAACCGGAUUAGCUACCCCUGUAGUC
This 442-nucleotide ribosomal RNA is filed under the name uncultured bacterium. RNAcentral's name for it is "partial 16S ribosomal RNA". It matches the Rfam family "Bacterial small subunit ribosomal RNA", at positions 338 to 795 of the family's 1533-position model. The record is from RNAcentral.